RNAcentral lists this ribosomal RNA (253 nucleotides) under uncultured bacterium. Its description in RNAcentral is "partial 16S ribosomal RNA". It matches the Rfam family "Bacterial small subunit ribosomal RNA", at positions 524 to 776 of the family's 1533-position model. The record is from RNAcentral.
UACGGAGGGUGCGAGCGUUGUCCGGAAUCACUGGGCGUAAAGGGCGCGUAGGCGGCCCGGCAAGUCAACGGUGAAAGCUUGGGGCUCAACCCCGAGUCGGCCGUCGAUACUUCCGGGCUGGAGCACUGUAGAGGCAGGUGGAAUUCCGGGUGUAGCGGUGGAAUGCGUAGAGAUCCGGAAGAACACCAGUGGCGAAGGCGGCCCGCUGGGCAGUGGCUGACGCUGAGGCGCGACAGCGUGGGGAGCAAACAGG